This 492-nucleotide ribosomal RNA is filed under the name uncultured bacterium. RNAcentral's name for it is "partial 16S ribosomal RNA". It matches the Rfam family "Bacterial small subunit ribosomal RNA", at positions 29 to 507 of the family's 1533-position model. The record is from RNAcentral.
AGUGAACGCUGGCGGUAGGCCUAACACAUGCAAGUCGAACGGCAGCACAGUAAGAUCUUGCUCUUACGGGUGGCGAGUGGCGGACGGGUGAGGAAUACAUCGGAAUCUACUUUUUCGUAGGGGAUAACGUAGGGAAACUUACGCUAAUACCGCAUACGACCUACGGGUGAAAGCAGGGGAUCUUCGGACCUUGCGCGAUUGAAUGAGCCGAUGUCGGAUUAGCUAGUUGGCGGGGUAAAGGCCCACCAAGGCGAGGAUCCGUAGCUGGUCUGAGAGGAUGAUCGGCCACACUGGAACUGAGACACGGUCCAGACGCCUACGGGAGGCAGCAGUGGGGAAUAUUGGACAAUGGGCGCAAGCCUGAUCCAGCCAUACCGCGUGGGUGAAGAAGGCCUUCGGGUUGUAAAGCCCUUUUGUUGGGAAAGAAAAGCAGCAGGUUAAUACCCCGCUGUUCUGACGGUACCCAAAGAAUAAGCACCGGCUAACUUCGUG